AGUGAACGCUGGCGGUAGGCCUAACACAUGCAAGUCGAGCGGCAGCACAGUAAGAGCUUGCUCUUACGGGUGGCGAGUGGCGGACGGGUGAGGAAUACAUCGGAAUCUACUUUUUCGUGGGGGGUAACGUAGGGAAACUUACGCUAAUACCGCAUACGACCUACGGGUGAAAGCAGGGGAUCUUCGGACCUUGCGCGAUUGAAUGAGCCGAUGUCGGAUUAGCUAGUUGGCGGGGUAAAGGCCCACCAAGGCGACGAUCCGUAGCUGGUCUGAGAGGAUGAUCAGCCACACUGGAACUGAGACACGGUCCAGACUCCUACGGGAGGCAGCAGUGGGGAAUAUUGGACAAUGGGCGCAAGCCUGAUCCAGCCAUACCGCGUGGGUGAAGAAGGCCUUCGGGUUGUAAAGCCCUUUUGUUGGGAAAGAAAAGCAGCAGGUUAAUACCCCGCUGUUCUGACGGUACCCAAAGAAUAAGCACCGGCUAACUUCGUG
RNAcentral lists this ribosomal RNA (492 nucleotides) under uncultured bacterium. RNAcentral's name for it is "partial 16S ribosomal RNA". It matches the Rfam family "Bacterial small subunit ribosomal RNA", at positions 29 to 507 of the family's 1533-position model. The record is from RNAcentral.